ACGCUGGCGGCAGGCCUAACACAUGCAAGUCGAGCGGUAGCACAGAGAGCUUGCUCUCGGGUGACGAGCGGCGGACGGGUGAGUAAUGUCUGGGAAACUGCCUGAUGGAGGGGGAUAACUACUGGAAACGGUAGCUAAUACCGCAUAACGUCGCAAGACCAAAGUGGGGGACCUUCGGGCCUCAUGCCAUCAGAUGUGCCCAGAUGGGAUUAGCUAGUAGGUGGGGUAAUGGCUCACCUAGGCGACGAUCCCUAGCUGGUCUGAGAGGAUGACCAGCCACACUGGAACUGAGACACGGUCCAGACUCCUACGGGAGGCAGCAGUGGGGAAUAUUGCACAAUGGGCGCAAGCCUGAUGCAGCCAUGCCGCGUGUAUGAAGAAGGCCUUCGGGUUGUAAAGUACUUUCAGCGAGGAGGAAGGCGUUAAGGUUAAUAACCUUGGCGAUUGACGUUACUCGCAGAAGAAGCACCGGCUAACUCCGUGCCAGCAGCCGCGGUAAUACGGAGGGUGCAAGCGUUAAUCGGAAUUACUGGGCGUAAAGCGCACGCAGGCGGUCUGUCAAGUCGGAUGUGAAAUCCCCGGGCUCAACCUGGGAACUGCAUUCGAAACUGGCAGGCUAGAGUCUUGUAGAGGGGGGUAGAAUUCCAGGUGUAGCGGUGAAAUGCGUAGAGAUCUGGAGGAAUACCGGUGGCGAAGGCGGCCCCCUGGACAAAGACUGACGCUCAGGUGCGAAAGCGUGGGGAGCAAACAGGAUUAGAUACCCUGGUAGUCCACGCCGUAAACGAUGUCGACUUGGAGGUUGUGCCCUUGAGGCGUGGCUUCCGGAGCUAACGCGUUAAGUCGACCGCCUGGGGAGUACGGCCGCAAGGUUAAAACUCAAAUGAAUUGACGGGGGCCCGCACAAGCGGUGGAGCAUGUGGUUUAAUUCGAUGCAACGCGAAGAACCUUACCUACUCUUGACAUCCAGAGAACUUAGCAGAGAUGCUUUGGUGCCUUCGGGAACUCUGAGACAGGUGCUGCAUGGCUGUCGUCAGCUCGUGUUGUGAAAUGUUGGGUUAAGUCCCGCAACGAGCGCAACCCUUAUCCUUUGUUGCCAGCGGUCCGGCCGGGAACUCAAAGGAGACUGCCAGUGAUAAACUGGAGGAAGGUGGGGAUGACGUCAAGUCAUCAUGGCCCUUACGAGUAGGGCUACACACGUGCUACAAUGGCAUAUACAAAGAGAAGCGACCUCGCGAGAGCAAGCGGACCUCAUAAAGUAUGUCGUAGUCCGGAUUGGAGUCUGCAACUCGACUCCAUGAAGUCGGAAUCGCUAGUAAUCGUAGAUCAGAAUGCUACGGUGAAUACGUUCCCGGGCCUUGUACACACCGCCCGUCACACCAUGGGAGUGGGUUGCAAAAGAAGUAGGUAGCUUAACCUUCGGGAGGNCGCUUUACCACUU
RNAcentral lists this ribosomal RNA (1438 nucleotides) under Klebsiella aerogenes. Its description in RNAcentral is "16S ribosomal RNA". It matches the Rfam family "Bacterial small subunit ribosomal RNA". RNAcentral also lists the same sequence under 2 other names. Lineage: Bacteria; Pseudomonadati; Pseudomonadota; Gammaproteobacteria; Enterobacterales; Enterobacteriaceae. The record is from RNAcentral.